GUUGAUGUGCAAAGGGGUAUGGCCAAGCAGCUCAUCCGUUGUUCUGUUGCAGACACCAAAUGGACACAAAUCCUUCAAAACCCAAGCUAGCUUUUCUAGCUACCCUCUUGCCAGCAAAGUUAUGGUUAGAAAUCUAUCAUACUCCACUGAUGAAAGUUGUCUGGAGAAAAUAUUUUCAAAUUUUGGUCAUGUUGCUGAAGUUAAGAUUGUGAAGGAUGAAGUGACUAAGAGAUCAAAGGGAUAUGCUUUUAUUCAGUACACUUCUCAAGAAAAUGCCAUGCUUGCUCUUGAUAGCAUGGAUCACAAGUACAUCAAUGGCAGGGUUAUAUUUGUGGAACUUGCAAAGCCUACAAAGAAAGACUUUGGCAGAUACCCGAGAAGUUGUGGACCACCUGUGGAGAGAUUACCAUCUGAAAAUGAAGUUCCAGACCUAAAAGAAAACUGCUAAGGUAAUGUUUACGCUAGUGUUAGAGUGGCAAUCAUUGAUAGGUGCAUGACAGUUCCACAAGUCAUCAUUCUUGAAACUACUGUGAUGCAGCUUUGGUUCGACUUGAUAAAACUUCUAUUGCGUAAAAUUUCACUCUUAGGUCACUCCUACAGGUUACAGGACUAGUUUACUUGUUCUGUCAUCGCAUUCUGUGUUUUGCAUGUAAACUUCACACACAUAUAUAUUGUGUUUGUUCUAUUAGGCAUGGCG
Molecule: unclassified non-coding RNA, 697 nt
Filed under: Hevea brasiliensis (rubber tree)
Lineage: Eukaryota; Viridiplantae; Streptophyta; Magnoliopsida; Malpighiales; Euphorbiaceae
Source: RNAcentral